Molecule: microRNA, 22 nt
Filed under: Gallus gallus (chicken)
Lineage: Eukaryota; Metazoa; Chordata; Aves; Galliformes; Phasianidae
Description: gga-miR-7456-3p
Source: miRBase by way of RNAcentral
CAGGGAGAUGUACCUGUAGGAG